RNAcentral lists this long non-coding RNA (29414 nucleotides) under Triticum aestivum (bread wheat). RNAcentral describes it as "long non-coding RNA (TAES_LNC026225)". Lineage: Eukaryota; Viridiplantae; Streptophyta; Magnoliopsida; Poales; Poaceae. The record is from RNAcentral.
UUUCUGCUCAUCAUCUUGUCUUCCAUGAACGCUAUGUGCUUCUGACAAGAAGGCACAUAUAUGAAUUCAGCCAAUAUGCGUUGCACGCCUGUACCGCACUAGCUAGCCACGUCUAAACUUGUGCUCAGCUCACCAUCAUCACCAUCCCAGCAACACUGCCUCACUCUCUCAAUCGAGAGCCUAUAAAUACCACCCAUCUCACCACAAACGCUCACAUCCAUCUGAAGCCAUACUUGCAGAAGCCACUAGCUCACUACUAGUCGAUCAAUCUGUUGUUUCAGAAAGACGCCAUGAAGUACUUGGGGCAGGUGGUGGUGGCGCUCCUGGCCUUCUCGGCGGUGGUGCUGAUGGUGGCGCCGGCGGGCGCGGAGGCGGCGACCUGCAACGCGCUGCAGCUGACCCCGUGCGCGGGGGCCAUCAUCGGGAGCGCGGCGCCCACGGCGUCGUGCUGCAGCAAGAUGAAGGAGCAGCAGCCGUGCAUGUGCCAGUACGCGCGCGACCCCAACCUGAAGCAGUACGUCGACUCCCCCAACGGCAAGAAGGUCAUGGCCGCCUGCAAGGUGCCCGUGCCAUCAUGCUAGAUCGACGCAUAUAUGAUCGAUCCACACGAGAGAGCCCAGCGCGCACGCGCUCCUCUCUGGCCUCUCGCUGCAUGUUUCAUGUGUGUUGAUGUGUCAGUGUUUGCUUGUUUCCCAACACUGUCUAGCUACCCUGACGAUGUACGUGGACCGAUGUGUAUCUGAAUUUACGCAAUAAUGACGAUGUUUCCAGCUAUAUGCAAUUUGCAUGUUCUUCCUCGCGUGCAUAUUUUCAUGUGGCCUUCGUGGUAGUCAUCAAUAAACUACUCCCUCCAUUCCGAGAAUGGACGUUUGGCUCUCGGCCUCCAUGGAGGCCUUUUUUUAAAAUAAAAAUAAAGAUUCAAAAUUUUCGGUUUUAAAAAAAUCUGAAAAAUAUGUGGAAGUAAACAAGGAUGUUAUGUGUAUGUGUGUAAAAUUUUAGGAUCAAAACGUUGAAAUGCGGCCUGUACAAAAAAAAGAUAAAUUCAUGACCUAGGAGGAUCACUACCAGAAAAACUGGGGUUGCCGACGGCCAAAUCUAUGCCGACGGCCCCCGUCGGCAUCUAUGGACCUAUGCCGACGGCCCAGGAUAGGCCGUAGGCGUAGAAAAGCCAUCGGCAUACAUCCAUCUAUGCCGACGGGACCGCCCGAGGUACGCCUACGGGGCCCGUCGGCAUAGGAUCAGUCGUCGGCAUAUCGCGGGCCCACCUGCCCGGUCAGCGCUGACCAUUUGACGGUGUUGAUCCUACGCCGACGGGAGGUAACGGCGGCCGUCGGCAUAUCUGUGGCAGAGGUAUGCCUACGGCAUAGCCGUCGGCAUUGGCCCCUCUGCCACGUCAUCGAUCCGUCUACCACGCCACGUCAUCGAUCCGUGGGACAACCUCCGUGUGUGCACAGAUAUGCCGACGGCCUUGCCGUCGGCAUACGUUUAUUUUACUUAACUUUUUUAUUUUUACUUUGGUUAUCUAUGGCUGAGGUAUGCCUACAGCACAGCCGUCGGCAUAGGCCCCUUUGCCACGUCAUCGAUCUGUGUGCCACGCCACGUUAUCGAUCCGUGGGACAACCUCCGUGUGUGCACAGAUAUGCCGACGGCCUUGCCGUCGGCAUACGUGUAUUUUACUUUAUUUUUUUAUUUUUACUUUGUUUUGUUAUUUUUACUUUAUUUUAGUUUUUGUUUUUGCAUAAGAUAAUUAUGCCUUAUCUAAAAAAACAUACCCGAUGGUAUAUCGAUUGCCCCCCGUUACGAGCGUCGCUAUCGCCGUGUCACGGAGGGGGGAAACGGUCGACACGGAAGGAAUUCUGGUUGGUGGGGGGUGUAGCUAUGUCACCGAAAUAUCGCACGGGUCCCGAUGCAUAUGUGAAAGUGUUCAUGCAUGCGUAGACGCCCGUCUUGGGGCUCCGGGGUUUGGCCACAGUGUCCGGGGUGUGCCCCCCUCACGGACGGCGCUGCCGCCGGCACCUGGAGGGGGGAAACGGACGCGUGGGGUCUACACGGAGGGGAUCUUGUUGUGGGUCUGGCCCGGAUGUUCCUCCAAAGUGUUCCUAUGGGCUGACCUAACACAACCGGGUGAGGAGGUGUUGGAAAUAUGCUCUAGAGGCAAUAAUAAAAGUAUUAUUAUAUUUCAUUGUUCAUGAUAAUUGUCUUGUAUUCAUGCUAUAACUGUGUUAUCCGGAAAUCGUAAUACACGUGUGAAUACUUGGACCACACUCUGUCCUUGGUAAGCCUCUAGUUGACCAGCUCGUUGUGAUCAACAGAUAGUCAUGGUUUCCUGACUAUGGACAUUGGAUGUCGUUGAUAACGGGAUCACAUCAUUAGGAGAAUGAUGUGAUGGACAAGACCCAAUCCUAAGCAUAGCAUAAAAGAUCGUGUAGUUCGUUUUGCUAGAGCUUUGCAAGUGUCAAGUAUCUCUUCCUACGACCAUGAGAUCGUGUAACUCCCGGAUACCGUAAGAGUGCCUUGGGUGUACCAAACGUCACAACGUAACUGGGUGACUAUAAAGGUGCAUUACAGGUAUCUCCGAAAGUAGCUGUUGGGUUGACACGGAUCGAGACUGGGAUUUGUCACUCCGUAUGACGGAGAGGUAUCUCUGGGCCCACUCGGUAAUGCAUCAUCAUAAUGAGCUCAAUGUGACCAAGGUGUUGGACACGGGAUCAUGCAUUAUGGUACGAGUAAAGUGACUUGCCGGUAACGAGACUGAACAAGGUAUUGGGAUACCGACGAUCGAGUCUCGGGCAAGUAACGUACCGAUUGACAAAGGGAAUUGCAUACAGGGUUUGAUCGAAUCCUCGACAUAGUGGUUCAUCCGAUGACAACAUCGAGGAGCAUGUGGGAGCCAUCAUGGGUAUCCAGAUCCCGCUGAUGGUUAUUGACUGGGAGAGUCUCGGUCAUGUCUGCAUGUCUCCCGAACCCGUAGGGUCUACACACUUAAGGUUCAGUUACGCUAGGGUUAUAGGGAUAUGUAUAUGCAGUAACCCGAAUGUUGUUCGGAGUCCCGGAUGAGAUCCCGGACGUCACGAGGAGUUCCGGAAUGGUCCGGAGGUAAAGAUUUAUAUAUGGGAAGUCCUGUUUCGGGCAUCGGGACAAGUUUCGGGGUUAUCGGUAUUGUACCGGGACCACCGGAAGGGUCCCGGGGGUCCACCGGGUGGGUCCACCUGUCCCGGGGGGGCACAUGGGCUGUGGGGGGUGCGCCUUGGCCUAAUGGGCCAAGGGAACCAGCCCCACAUAGGCCCAUGCGCCUAGGGUUUAAGGGGGCAAGAGUCCUAGGAGGGUAAGGCACCUCCUAGGUGCCUUGGGGGGAGGGAAAACCCCCCUUGGCCGCCGCACCCCCUAGGAGAUUGGAUCUCCUAGGGCCGGCCACCCCCCCUUGGCACCCCUAUAUAUAGUGGGGGAGAGGAGGGACUUCAUACCUGAACACCCUGGCCUUUGGUUGCCUCCUUCUCCCUCCCCAACACCUCCUCCACCUCCAUAGUGCUUAGCGAAGCUCUGCCGGAGUACUGCAGCUCCAUCAACACCACGCCGUCGUGCUGCUGCUGGUGCCAUCUCCCUCAACCUCUCCUCCCUUCCUUGCUGGAUCAAGAAGGAGGAGACGUGGCUGUUCCGUACGUGUGUUGAACGCGGAGGUGCCGUCCGUUCGGCGCUGGUCAUCGGUGAUUUGGAUCACGUCGAGUACGACUACAUCAUCACCUUGCAAGCUUCCGCACGCGAUCUACAAGUGGUAUGUAGAUGCAAACUCUCUCCCUAGACUCGUUGCUUAGAUGAACUCAUAGAUGGAUCUUGGUGAAACCGUAGGAAAAAUUUUAAUUUUCUGCAACGUUCCCCAACAGUGGCAUCAUGAGCUAGGUCUAUGCGUAGUUCUCUUUGCACGAGUAGAACACAACUUCGUUGUGGGCGUGGAUUUUGUCAUCUUACUUGCCUCUACUAGUCUUUUCUUGCUCAACGGUAUUGUGGGAUGAAGCGGCCCGGACCAACCUUACACGUACUCUUACGUGAGACCGGUUCCACCGACUGACAUGCACAAGUUGCAUAAGGUGGCUGGCGGGUGUCUGUCUCUCCCACCUUAGUUGGAGCGGAAUCGAUGAACAGGGCCCUUAUGAAGGGUAAAUAGAAGUUGACAAAAUCACGUUGUGGUGAUUCGUAGGUAAGAAAACGUUCUUGCUAGAACCCAAUUGCAGCCACGUAAAAGAUGCAACAACAAUUAGAGGACGUCUAACCUGUUUUUGCAGCGAUUGAUCAUGUGAUGUGAUAUGGCCAGAAGUUGUGAUGAAUGAUGAAUUGUGAUGUAUGAGAUCAUGUUCUUUGUAAUAGGAUUCACGACUUGCAUGUCGAUGAGUAUGAAAACCGGCAGGAGCCAUAGGAGUUGUCAUUAUUUUUUGUAUGACCUGCGUGUCAUUGAAUAACGUCAUGUAAACUACUUUACUUUAUUGCUAAACGUUAGUCAUAGAAGUAGAAGUAGUCGUUGGCGUGACAACUUCAUGAAGACACGAUGAUGGAGAUCAUGAUGAUGGAGAUCAUGGUGUCAAGCCGGUGACAAGAUGAUCAUGGAGCCCCGAAGAUGAAGAUCAAUGGAGCUAUAUGAUAUUGGCCAUAUCAUGUCACAACUAUAUAAUUGCAUGUGAUGUUUAUUAUGUAUUAUGCAUCUUGUUUACUUAGGACGACGGUAGUAAAUAAGAUGAUCCCUUAUUAAAAAAAUUCAAGAAGUGUUCUCCCCUAACUGUGCACCGUUGCUACAGUUCGUCGUUUCUAAGCACCACGUGAUGAUCGGGUGUGAUGGAUUCUUACGUUCACAUACAACGGGUGUAAGACAGUUUUACACAGCGAAAACACUUAGGGUUAACUUGACGAGCCUAGCAUGUGCAGACAUGGCCUCGGAACAUGGAGACCGAAAGGUCGAACACGAGUCGUAUGGAAGAUACGAUCAACAUGAAAAUGUUCACCGACGAUGACUAGUCCGUCUCACGUGAUGAUCGGACACGGGCUAGUCGACUCGGAUCGUGUAACACUUAGAUGACUAAAGGGAUGUCUAAUCUAAGUGGGAGUUCAUAAUUUGAUUAGAACUUUAUUAUCAUGAACUUAGUCUAAAACCUUUGCAAAUAUGUCUUGUAGAUCAAUGGCCAACGCAAACGUCAACAUGAACUUCAACGCGUUCCUAGAGAAAACCAAGCUGAAAGAUGAUGGCAGCAACUAUACGGACUGGGUCCGGAACCUGAGGAUCAUCCUCAUAGCUGCCAGGAAACAAUAUGUCCUAGAAGGGCCGCUAGGUGACGCUCCCGUCCCAGAGAACCAAGACAUUAUGAAUGCUUGGCAGUCUCGCGCUGAUGAUUACUCCCUCGUUCAGUGCGGCAUGCUUUACAGCUUAGAACCGGGGCUCCAAAAGCGUUUUGAGCAUCACGGAGCAUAUGAGAUGUUCGAAGAGCUGAAACUAGUUUUUCAAGCUCAUGCCCGGGUCGAAAGAUAUGAUGUCUCCGACAAGUUCUACAGUUGUAAGAUGGAGGAAAACAGCUCUGUCAGUGAGCACAUCCUGAAGAUGUCUGGGUUGCACAACCGUAUGACCCAGCUGAACAUUAACCUCCCAGAUGAGGCGGUCAUUGACAGAAUCCUCCAGUCGCUCCCACCAAGCUACAAGAGCUUUGUGAUGAACUACAACAUGCAGGGAAUGGAAAAGACCAUUCCUGAAGUGUUCUCGAUGCUGAAGUCAGCAGAGGCUGAAAUCAAGAAAGAACAUCAAGUGUUGAUGGUCAAUAAGACCACUAAGUUCAAGAAGGGCAAGGGUAAGAAGAACUUCAAGAAGGACGGCAAAGAUGUUGCCGCGCCUGGUAAGCCAGUUACCGGGAAGAAGUCAAAGAAUGGACCCAAGCCUGAGACUGAGUGCUUUUAUUGCAAGGGGAAGGGUCACUGGAAGCGGAACUGCCCCAAAUACUUAGCGGAUAAGAAGGCCGGCAACACCAAAGGUAUAUUUGAUAUACAUGUGAUUGAUGUGUACCUUACCAGUAAUCGUGGUAACUCCUGGGUAUUUGAUACCGGUGCCGUUGCUCAUAUUUGUAACUCACAGCAGGAGCUGUGGAAUAAACGGAGACUGGCAAAGGACGAGGUGACGAUGCGCGUCGGGAAUGGUUCCAAAGUCGAUGUGAUCGCCGUCGGCACGCUGCCUCUACAUUUACCUACGGGAUUAGUUUUGAACCUCAAUAAUUGUUAUUUAGUGCCAAGUUUGAGCAUGAACAUUGUAUCUGGAUCUCGUUUAAUACGAGAUGGCUACUCAUUUAAGUCUGAGAAUAAUGGUUGUUCGAUUUAUAUGAGAGAUAUGUUUUAUGGUCAUGCUCCGAUGGUCAAUGGUUUAUUCUUAAUGAAUCUCGAGCGUAAUAUUACACAUGUUCAUAGUGUAGAUGCCAAAAGAUUUAAAGUUGAUAACGAUAGUCCCACAUACUUGUGGCACUGCCGCCUUGGUCACAUUGGUGUCAAGCGCAUGAAGAAGCUCCAUGCUGAUGGACUUUUAGAGUCUCUUGAUUAUGAAUCGUUUGACAAGUGCGAACCCUGCCUCUUAGGUAAAAUGACCAAGACUCCGUUCUCCGGAACAAUGGAGCGAGCAACCAACUUGUUGGAAAUCAUACAUACCGAUGUGUGCGGUCCAAUGAGCGUUGAGGCUCGCGGAGGAUAUGUUAUGUUCUCACUCUCACAGAUGACUUGAGUAGAUAUGGGUAUGUCUACUUAAUGAAACACAAGUCUGAGACCUUUGAAAAGUUCAAGGAAUUUCAGAAUGAGGUGGAGAAUCAACGUGACCGAAAGAUAAAAUUCUUACGAUCAGAUCGUGGAGGAGAAUACUUAAGUCACGAAUUUGGUACACACUUAAAGAAAUGUGGAAUCGUUUCACAGCUCACGCCGCCUGGAACACCUCAGCGAAACGGUGUGUCCGAACGUCGUAAUCGCACUCUAUUGGAUAUGGUGCGGUCUAUGAUGUCUCUUACCGAUUUACCGCUAUCAUUUUGGGGAUACGCUCUAGAGACAGCUACAUUCACUUUAAAUAGGGCACCGUCUAAAUCCGUUGAGACGACACCGUAUGAAUUAUGGUUUGGAAAGAAACCUAAGCUGUCGUUUCUAAAAGUUUGGGGAUGCGAAGCUUAUGUCAAGAAACUUCAACCUGAAAAGCUCGAACCCAAGUCGGAAAAAUGUGUAUUCAUAGGAUACCCUAAGGAAACUAUAGGGUAUACCUUCUACUUAAGAUCCGAAGGCAAGAUCUUUGUUGCCAAGAACGGAUGCUUUCUGGAAAAAGAGUUUCUCUCGAAAGAAGUAAGUGGGAGGAAAGUGGAACUCGAUGAAGUACUACCUCUUGAGCGGGAUAUUGACGCAGCACAGGAAACCGUUCCUGUGAUGCCCACACCAACUGAAGAGGAAAACCAUGAUAAUGAUCAAGGUACUUCGGAUCAAGUUACUGCUGAACUUCGUAGGUCCACAAGGACACGUUCCGCACCAGAGUGGUACGGCAACCCUGUCCUGGAAAUCAUGUUGUUAGACAACAAUGAACCUUCGAACUAUGAAGAAGCAAUGGCGGGCCCGGAUUCCAACAAAUGGCUUGAAGCCAUGAAAUCCGAGAUAGAAUCCAUGUAUGAAAACAAAGUAUGGACUUUGACAGACUUGCCCGAUGAUCGGCGAGCGAUAGAAAACAAAUGGAUCUUUAAGAAGAAGACGGACGCGGAUGGUAAUGUUACCAUCUAUAAAGCUCGACUUGUCGCUAAGGGUUAUCGACAGGUUCAAGGGAUUGACUACGACGAGACAUUCUCUCCCGUAGCGAAGCUAAAGUCCGUCCGAAUCAUGUUAGAAAUUGCCGCAUACUAUGAUUAUGAGAUAUGGCAGAUGGACAUCAAAACAGCAUUCCUUAACGAGCAUCUUAAGGAAGAACUGUAUAUGAUGCAGCCGGAAGGUUUUGUCGAUCCUCGGAACGCUAACAAAGUAUGCAAGCUCCAGCGAUCCAUUUAUGGACUGGUGCAAGCAUCUCGGAGUUGGAACAUUCGCUUUGAUGAGAUGAUCAAAGCGUUUGGGUUUAUGCAGACUUAUGGAGAAGCCUGCGUUUACAAGAAAGUGAGUGGGAGCUCUGUAGCAUUUCUCAUAUUAUAUGUAGAUGACAUACUCCUGAUGGGAAAUAAUAUAGAAUUUCUGGACAGCAUUAAGGCCUACUUGAAUAAGUGUUUUUCAAUGAAGGACCUUGGAGAAGCUGCUUAUAUAUUAGGCAUCAAGAUCUAUAGAGAUAGAUCGAGACGCCUCAUAGGUCUUUCACAAAGCACAUACCUUGAUAAGAUUUUGAAGAGAUUCAGAAUGGAUCAGUCCAAGAAGGGGUUCUUGCCUAUGUUACAAGGUAUGAGACUGAGCUCAGCUCAGUCACCGACGACGGCAAAAGAUAAAGAAGAGAUGAGUGUCAUCCCCUAUGCUUCAGCCAUAGGAUCUAUUAUGUAUGCCAUGCUGUGUACCAGACCCGAUGUAAACCUUGCCGUAAGUUUGGUAGCAAGAUACCAAAGUAAUCCCGGCAAGGAACACUGGACAGCGGUCAAGAAUAUCCUGAAGUACCUGAAAAGGACAAAGGACAUGUUUCUCGUUUAUGGAGGAGACGAAGAGCUCGUCGUAAAGGGUUACGUCGACGCUAGCUUCGACUCAGAUCUGGAUGACUCUAAGUCACAAACCGGAUACGUGUAUAUGUUGAAUGGUGGAGCAGUAAGCUGGUGCAGCUGCAAGCAGAGCGUCGUGGCGGGAUCUACGUGUGAAGCGGAGUACAUGGCAGCCUCGGAGGCAGCACAUGAAGUGAUUUGGGUGAAGGAGUUCAUCACCGACCUAGGAGUCAUACCCAAUGCGUCGGGGCCGAUCAAACUCUUCUGUGACAACACUGGAGCUAUUGCCCUCGCAAAGGAGCCCAGGUUUCACAAGAAGACCAGGCACAUCAAGCGUCGUUUCAACUCCAUCCGUGAAAAUGUUCAAGAAUGGAGACAUAGAGAUUUGCAAAGUGCACACGGAUCUGAAUGUCGCAGAUCCGCUGACUAAACCUCUCUCGCGUGCAAAACAUGAUCAACACCAGAACUCUAUGGGUGUUCGAUUCAUCACAAUGUAACUAGAUUGGUGACUCUAGUGCAAGUGGGAGACUGUUGGAAAUAUGCCCUAGAGGCAAUAAUAAAAGUAUUAUUAUAUUUCAUUGUUCAUGAUAAUUGUCUUGUAUUCAUGCUAUAACUGUGUUAUCCGGAAAUCGUAAUACACGUGUGAAUACUUGGACCACACUAUGUCCCUGGUAAGCCUCUAGUUGACCAGCUCGUUGUGAUCAACAGAUAGUCAUGGUUUCCUGACUAUGGACAUUGGAUGUCGUUGAUAACGGGAUCACAUCAUUAGGAGAAUGAUGUGAUGGACAAGACCCAAUCCUAAGCAUAGCAUAAAAGAUCGUGUAGUUCAUUUUGCUAGAGCUUUGCAAGUGUCAAGUAUCUCUUCCUACGACCAUGAGAUCGUGUAACUCCCGGAUACCGUAAGAGUGCCUUGGGUGUACCAAACGUCACAACGUAACUGGGUGACUAUAAAGGUGCAUUACAGGUAUCUCCGAAAGUAGCUGUUGGGUUGACACGGAUCGAGACUGGGAUUUGUCACUCCGUAUGACGGAGAGGUAUCUCUGGGCCCACUCGGUAAUGCAUCAUCAUAAUGAGCUCAAUGUGACCAAGGUGUUGGACACGGGAUCAUGCAUUACGGUACGAGUAAAGUGACUUGCCGGUAACGAGACUGAACAAGGUAUUGGGAUACCGACGAUCGAGUCUCGGGCAAGUAACGUACCGAUUGACAAAGGGAAUUGCAUACAGGGUUUGAUCGAAUCCUCGACAUAGUGGUUCAUCCGAUGACAACAUCGAGGAGCAUGUGGGAGCCAUCAUGGGUAUCCAGAUCCCGCUGAUGGUUAUUGACUGGGAGAGUCUCGGUCAUGUCUGCAUGUCUCCCGAACCCGUAGGGUCUACACACUUAAGGUUCAGUUACGCUAGGGUUAUAGGGAUAUGUAUAUGCAGUAACCCGAAUGUUGUUCGGAGUCCCGGAUGAGAUCCCGGACGUCACGAGGAGUUCCGGAAUGGUCCGGAGGUAAAUAUUUAUAUAUGGGAAGUCCUGUUUCGGGCAUCGGGACAAGUUUCGGGGUUAUCGGUAUUGUACCGGGACCACCGGAAGGGUCCCGGGGGUCCACCGGGUGGGUCCACCUGUCCCGGGGGGCCACAUGGGCUGUGGGGGGUGCGCCUUGGCCUAAUGGGCCAAGGGCACCAGCCCCACAUAGGCCCAUGCGCCUAGGGUUUAAGGGGGCAAGAGUCCUAGGAGGGUAAGGCACCUCCUAGGUGCCUUGGGGGGAGGGAAAACCCCCCUUGGCCGCCGCACCCCCUAGGAGAUUGGAUCUCCUAGGGCUGGCCACCCCCCCUUGGCACCCCUAUAUAUAGUGGGGGAGAGGAGGGACUUCAUACCUGAACGCCCUGGCCUUUGGUUGCCUCCUUCUCCCUCCCCAACACCUCCUCCACCUCCAUAGUGCUUAGCGAAGCUCUGCCGGAGUACUGCAGCUCCAUCAACACCACGCCGUCGUGCUGCUGCUGGUGCCAUCUCCCUCAACCUCUCCUCCCUUCCUUGCUGGAUCAAGAAGGAGGAGACGUGGCUGUUCCGUACGUGUGUUGAACGCGGAGGUGCCGUCCGUUCGGCGCUGGUCAUCGGUGAUUUGGAUCACGUCGAGUACGACUACAUCAUCACCUUGCAAGCUUCCGCACGCGAUCUACAAGUGGUAUGUAGAUGCAAACUCUCUCCCUAGACUCGUUGCUUAGAUGAACUCAUAGAUGGAUCUUGGUGAAACCGUAGGAAAAAUUUUAAUUUUCUGCAACGUUCCCCAACAGGAGGUCCACUGGUCAAAGCCCAUCUGUGCAAAGUCAAAGGGCUAGAUCCCGUGGUCAAACGCUAGAGGAUUAGGCGGGACGGGGGCACUGGGGGUAGCAAUGCCACCGCAGCGUCGCACCGGGCCCUCAUACAUGCGGGGUGGUGUGGUGGCAUGUCCGAAGAGGCGGGACGCGUCUCCGGGGCGUGGCCCCCCCUCAUGGACGGCGAUGACACGGUAGUAGACGUUCUGCGUUAACGAUGCCGCGUCAAUAUUACUAAAUACUCGGAGCGCGAUAAAAUCAUGAGUUUUUUUGCACGACGUGGGCACAUGUGCUAUAGGAAUGGUGGUAUUUUUUCAUAAUUUUUGGUGAUGGAGAAGUAUCCGAAAAAUUCCCUCUACGCGGAUUGCCCUUCGCGCGUCUAUGGCUGUGGCCGGCGGCCUCCGGGGGCUAGCAUGCCGCCAAAUCUUGCGUAGGCGGCCUCUCACAAGUUUGGAAGUGUUGUGGCGGUUGCAAACGCCCGGCACGCGUGUCCGGGGUGUGCCCCCCUCACGGACGGCGCCGCCACCGGCACCUGGAGGGGGGAAACGGACGCGUGGGGUCUACACGGAGGGGAUCUUGCUGUGGGCCUGCCCGGAUGUUGCUCCAAAGUGUUCCUAUGGGCUGAGCUAACACAACCGGGUGGGGAGGUCCACCGAUCAAAGCCCGUCCGUGCAAAGUCAAAGGGCUAGAUCCCGUGGUCAAACGCUACAGGGUUAGGCGGGACGGGGGCACUGGGGGGGUUGCAAUGCCACCGGAGCAUCGCACCGGGCCCUCAUACAUGCGGGAUGGUGCGGUGGCAUGUCCGAAGAGGCGGGACGCGUCUCCGGGGAGUGGCCCCCCCUCACGGACGGCGAUGACACGGUAGUAGACGUUGUGCGGUAACGAUGCGGCGUCAAUAUUACUAAAUACUCGGAGCGCGAUAAAAUCAUGAGUUUUUUUGCACGACGUGGGCACAUGUGCUAUAGGAACGAUGGUAUUUUUUCAUAAUUUUUGGUGAUGGAUAAGUAUCCGAAAAAUUCCCUCUACGCGGAUUGCCCUUCGCGCGUCUACGGCUGUGGCCGGCGGCCUCCGGGGGCUAGCAUGCCGCCAAAUCUUGCGUAGGCCGCCUCUCACAAGUCUGGAAGUGUUGUGGCGGUUGCAAACGCCCGGCACGCGUGUCCGGGGUGUGCCCCCCUCACGGACGGCGCCGCCGCCGGCACCUGGAGGGGGGAAACGGACGCGUGGGGUCUACACGGAGGGGAUCUUGCUGUGGGCCUGGCCCGGAUGUUGCUCCAAAGUGUUCCUAUGGGCUGAGCUAACACAACCGGGUGGGGAGGUCCACUGGUCAAAGCCCGUCCGUGCAAAGUCAAAGGGCUAGAUCCCGUGGUCAAACGCUACAGGGUUAGGCGGGACGGGGGCACUAGGGGUAGCAAUGCCACCGGAGCGUCGCACCGGGCCCUCAUACAUACGGGGUGGUGUGGUGGCAUGUACGAAGAGGCGGGACGCAUCUCCGGGGCGUAGCCCCCCCUCACGGACGGCGAUGACACGAUAGUAGACGUUGUGCGGUAACGAUGCGGCGUCAAUAUUACUAAAUACUCGGAGCGUGAUAAAAUCAUGAGUUUUUUUGCACGACGUGGGCACAUGUGCUAUAGGAACGAUGGUAUUUUUUCAUAAUUUUUGGUGAUGGAGAAGUAUCCAAAAAAUUCCCUCUACGCGGAUUGCCCUUCGCGCGUCUACGGCUGUGGCCGGCGGCCUCCGGAGGCUAGCAUGCCGCCAAAUCUUGCGUAGGCGGCCUCUCACAAGUCUGGAAGUGUUGUGGCGGUUGCAAACGCCCGGCACGCGUGUCCGGGGUGUGCCCCACUCACGGACGGCGCCGCUGCCGGCACCUGGAGGGGGAAACGGACGCGUGGGGUCUACACGGAGGGGAUCUUGCUGUGGGUCUGGCCCGGAUGUUGCUCCAAAGUGUUCCUAUGGGCUGACCUAACACAACCGGGUGGGGAGGUCCACUGAUCCCGUGGUCAAACGCUAUAGGGUUAAGCGGGACGGGGGCACUGGGGGGUAGCAAUGCCACCGAAGCGUCGCACCGGGCCCUCAUACAUGCGGGGUGGUGUGGUGGCAUGUCCAAAGAGGCGGGUCGCGUCUCCGGGGCGUGGGCCCCCCUCACGGACGGCGAUGACACGGUAGUAGACGUUUUGUGGUAACGAUGCGGCGCCAAUAUUACUAAAUACUCGGAGCGCGAUAAAAUCAUGAGUUUUUUUUUGCACGACAUGGGCACAUGUGCUAUAGGAACGAUGGUAUUUUUUCAUAAUUUUUGGUGAUGGAGAAGUAUCCAAAAAAUUCCCUCUACGCGGAUUGCCCUUCGCGCGUCUACGGCUGUGGCCGGCGGCCUCCGGGGGCUAGCCUGCCGCCAAAUCUUGCGUAGGCGGCCUCUCACAAGUCUGGAAGUGUUGUGGCGGUUGCAAACGCCCGGCACGCGUGUCCGGGGUGUGCCUCCCUCAUGGACGGCGCCGCCGCCGGCAUCUGGAGGGCGGAAACGGACGCAUGGGGUCUACACGGAGGGGAUCUUGCUGUGGGUCUGGCCCGAAUGUUGCUCCAAAGUGUUCCUAUGGGCUGACCUAACACAACCGGGUGGGGGGUCCACUGGUCAAAGCCCGUCCGUGCAAAGUCAAAGGGCUAGAUCCCGUGGUCAAACGCUACAGGGUUAGGCGAGACGGGGGCACCGGGGAGGGGGUAGCAAUGCCACUGGAGCAUCGCACCGGGCCCUCAUACAUGCGGGGUGGUGUGGUGGCAUGUCCAAAGAGGCGGGAUGCGUCUCCGGGGCGUGGCCCCCCCUCACAAACGGCGAUGACACGGUAGUAGACGUUGUGCGAUAACGAUUUGGCGUCAAUAUUACUAUAUACUCGGAGCGCGAUAAAAUCAUGAGUUUUUUUGCACGACGUGGGCACAUGUGCUAUAGGAACGAUGGUAUAUUUUCAUAAUUUUUGGUGAUGGAGAAGUAUCCGAAAAAUUCCGUCUACGGGGAUUGCCCUUCGCGCGUCUACGGCUGUGGCCGGCGGCCUCCGGGGGCUAGCAUGCCGCCAAAUCUUGCGUAGGCGGCCUCUGGGGGCUAGCAUGCCGCCAAAUCUUGCGUAGGCGGCCUCUCACAAGCCUGGAAGUGUUGUGGUGGUUGCAAAUGCCUGGCACGCGUGUCCGGGGUGUGCCCCCCUCACGGACGGCGCCGCCGCCGGCACCUUGAGGGGGGAAACGGACGCAUGGGGUCUACACGGAGGGGAUCUUGUGGUGGGUCUGGCCCGGAUGUUGCUCCAAAGUGUUUCUAUGGGCUGACCUAACACAACCGGGUGGGGAGGUCCACUGGUCAAAGCCCGUCCGUGCAAAGUCAAAGGGCUAGAUCCCGUUGUCAAACGCUACAGGGUUAGGCGGGACGGGGGCACUGGGGGGUAGCAAUGCCACCGGAGCAUCGCACCGGGCCCUCAUACAUGCGGGGUGGUGUGGUGGCAUGUCCGAAGAGGCGGGACGCGUCUCCGAGGCGUGGCCCCCCCUCACGGACGACGAUGACACGGUAAUAGAUGUUUUGCGGUAACGAUGCGGUGCCAAUAUUACGAAAUACUCGGAGCGCGAUAAAAUGAUGAGCUUUUUUGCACGACAUGGGCACAUGUGCUAUAGGAACGAUGGUAUUUUUUCAUAAUUUUUGGUAAUGGAUAAGUAUCCGAAAAAUUUCCUCUACGCGGAUUGCCCUUCGCGCGUCUACGGCUGUGGCCGGUGGCCUCCGGGGGCUAGCAUGCCGCCAAAUCUUGCGUAGGCGGCCUCUCACAAGUCUGGAAGUGUUGUGGCGGUUGCAAACACCCGGCACGCGUGUCCGGGGUGUGCCCCCCUCACGGACGGCGCCGCCGCCUGCACCUGGAGGAGGGAAACAGACGCGUCGGGUCUACACGGAGGGGAUCUUGCUGUGGGUCUGGCCCGGAUGUUGCUCCAAAGUGUUCCUAUGGGCUGACCUAACACAACCAGGUGGGGAGGUCCACUGGUCAAAGCCCGUCCGUGCAAAGUCAAAGGGCUAGAUCCCGUGGUCAAACGCUACAGGGUUAGGCGAGAAGGGGGCACUUGGGGGGUAGCAAUGCCACCGGAGGAUCGCACCGGGCCCUCAUACAUGCGGGGUGGUGUGGUGGCAUGUCCGAAGAGGCGGGACGCGUCUCUGGGGCAUGGCCCCCCCUCACGGACGGCGAUGACACGGUAAUAGACGUUGUGCGGCAACGAUGCGGCGUCAAUAUUACUAAAUACUCGGAGCGCGAUAAAAUCAUGAGUUUUUUUGCACGACAUGGGCACAUGUGCUAUAGGAACGAUGGUAUUUUUUCAUAAUUUUUGGUGAUGGAGAAGUAUCCAAAAAAUUCCCUCUACGCGGAUUGCCCUUCGCGCGUCUACGGUUGUGGCCAGCGGCCUCCGGGGGCUACCGUGCCGCCAAAUCUUGAGUAGGCGGCCUCUCACAAGUCUGGAAGUGUUGUGGCGGAUGCAAACGCCCGACACGCGUGCCCGGGGUGUGCCCCCUCACGGACGGCGCCGCCACCGGCACCUGGAGGGGGGAAACGGACGCGUCGGGUCUACACGGAGGGGAUCUUGCUGUGGGUCUGGCCCGGAUGUUGCUCCAAAGUGUUCCUAUGGGCUGACCUAACACAACCGGGUUGGGAGGUCCACUGGUCAAAGCCCGUCCAUGCAAAGUCAAAGGGCUAGAUCCUGUGGUCAAACGCUACAGGGUUAGGCGGGACGGGGGCACUAGGGGGGUAGCAAUGCCACCGCAGUGUCGCACCGGGCCCUCAUACAUGCGGGGUGGUGUGGUGGCAUGUCCGAAGAGGCGGGACGGUUCUCCGGGGCGUGGCCCCCCCUCACGGACGGCGAUGACACGAUAGUAGACGUUCUGCGGUAACGAUGCGGCGUCAAUAUUACUAAAUACUCGAAGCGCAAUAAAAUCAUGAGUUUUUUUGCACGAGUGGGCACAUGUGCUAUAGGAACGAUGGUAUUUUUUCAUAAUUUUUGGUGAUGGAGAAGUAUCCGAAAAAUUCCCUCUACGCGGAUUGCCCUUCGCGCGUCUACGGCUGUGGCCGGCGGCCUCCGGGGGCUAGCAUGCCGCCAAAUCUUGCAUAGGCGGCCUCUCACAAGUCUGGAAGUGUUGUGGCGGUUGCAAACGCCCGACACGCGUGUCCGGGGUGUGCCCCCCUCACGGACGGCGUCGCCGCCGGCACCUGGAGGGGGGAAACGGACGCGUGGGGUCUACACGGAGGGGAUCUUGCUGUGGGUCUGGCCCGGAUGUUGCUCCAAAGUGUUCCUAUGGGCUGACCUAACACAACCGGGUGGGGAGGUCCACUGGUCAAAGCUCGUCCGUCCAAAGUCAAAGGGCUAGAUCCCGUGGUCAAACGCUACAGGGCUAGGCGGGACGGGGGCACUGGGGGGUAGCAAUGCCACCGGAGCGUCGCACCGGGCCCUCAUACAUACGGGGUGGUGUGGUGGCAUGUCCGAAGAGGCGGGACGCGUCUCCGGGGCGUGGCCCCCCCUCACGGACGGUGAUGACACGGUAGUAGACGUUCUGCGGUAAUGAUGCGGCGUCAAUAUUACUAAAUACUCGGAGCGCGAUAAAAUAAUGAGUUUUUUUGCAUGACGCGGGCACAUGUGCUAUAGGAACGAUGGUAUUUUUUCAUAAUUUUUGGUGAUGGAAAAGUAUCCGAAAAAUUCCCUCUACGCGGAUUGCCCUUCGCGCGUCUACGGCUGUGGCCGGCGGCCUCCGGGGGCUAGCAUGCCGCCAAAUCUUGCAUAGGCGGCCUCUCACAAGUCUGGAAGUGUUGUGGCGGUUGCAAACGCCCGACACGCGUGUCCGGGGUGUGCCCCCCUCACGGACGGCAUCGCCGCCGGCACCUGGAGGGGGGAAACGGACGCGUGGGGUCUACACGGAGGGGAUCUUGCUGUGGGUCUGGCCCGGAUGUUGCUCCAAAGUGUUCCUAUGGGCUGACCUAACACAACCGGGUGGGGAGGUCCACUGGUCAAAGCUCGUCCGUCCAAAGUCAAAGGGCUAGAUCCCGUGGUCAAACGCUACAGGGCUAGGCGGGACGGGGGCACUGGGGGGUAGCAAUGCCACCGGAGCGUCGCACCGGGCCCUCAUACAUGCGGGGUGGUGUGGUGGCAUGUCCGAAGAGGCGGGACGCGUCUCCGGGGCGUGGCCCCCCCUCACGGACGGCGAUGACACGGUAGUAGACGUUCUGCGGUAAUGAUGCGGCGUCAAUAUUACUAAAUACUCGGAGCGCGAUAAAAUAAUGAGUUUUUUUGCAUGACGCGGGCACAUGUGCUAUAGGAACGAUGGUAUUUUUUCAUAAUUUUUGGUGAUGGAAAAGUAUCCGAAAAAUUCCCUCUACGCGGAUUGCCCUUCGCGCGUCUACGGCUGUGGCCGGCGGCCUCCGGGGGCUAGCCUGCCACCAAAUCUUGCGUAGGCGGCCUCUCACAAGUCUGGAAGUCUUGUGGUGGUUGCAAACGACCGGCACGCGUGUUCGGGUUGUGCCCCCCUCACGGACGGCGCCGCCGCCGGCACCUGGAGGGGGGAAACGGACGCGUGGGGUCUACACGGAGGGGAUCUUGCUAUGGGUCUGGCCCGGAUGUUGCUCCAAAGUGCUCCUAUGAGCUGAGCUAACACAACCGGGUGGGGAGGUCCACUGGUCAAAGCCCGUCCGUGAAAAGUCAAAGGGCUAGAUCCCGUGGUCAAAUGCUACAGGGUUAGGUGGGACGGGGGCACUGGGAGGGUAGCAAUGCCACCGGAGCGUCGCACCGGGCCCUCAUACAUGCGGGGUGGUGUGGUGGCAUGUCCGAAGAGGCGGGACGCGUCUCCGGGGCGUGCCCCCCCUCACGGACGGCGAUGACACGGUAGUAGACGUUCUGCGGUAACGAUGCGGCGUCAAUAUUACUAAAUACUCGGAGCGCGAUAAAAUCAUGGGUUUUUUUGCACGACGUGGGCACAUGUGCUAUAGGAACGAUGGUAUUUUUUCAUAAUUUUUGGUGAUGGAGAAGUAGACGAAAAAUUCCCUCUACGCGGAUUGCCCUUCGCGCGUCUACGGCUGUGGCCGGCGGCCUCCGGGGGCUAGCAUGCCGCCAAAUCUUGCGUAGGCGGCCUCUCACAAGUCUGGAAGUGUUGUGGCGGUUGCAAACGCCCGGCACGCAUGUCCGGGGUGUGCCCCCCUCACGGACGGCGCCGCCGCCGGCAUCUGGAGGGGGGAAAUGAACGCGUGGGGUCUACACGGAGGGGAUCUUGCUGUGGGUCUGGCCCGGAUGUUGCUCCAAAGUGUUCCUAUGGGCUGAGCUAACACAACCGGGUGGGGAGGUCCACUGAUCAAAGCCCGUCCGUGCAAAGUCAAAGGGCUAGAUCCCGUGGUCAAACGCUACAGGGUUAGGCGGGACGGGGGCAGUGGGGGGGUUGCAAUGCCACCGGAGCAUCGCACCGGGCCCUCAUACAUGCGGGAUGGUGCGGUGGCAUGUCCGAAGAGGCGGGACGCGUCUCCGGGGAGUGGCCCCCCCUCACGGACGGCGAUGACACGGUAGUAGACGUUGUGCGGUAACGAUGCGGCGUCAAUAUUACUAAAUACUCGGAGCGCGAUAAAAUCAUGAGUUUUUUUGCACGACGUGGGCACAUGUGCUAUAGGAACGAUGGUAUUUUUUCAUAAUUUUUGGUGAUGGAGAAGUAUCCGAAAAAUUCCCUCUACGCGGAUUGCCCUUCGCGCGUCUACGGCUGUGGCCGGCGGCCUCCGGGGGCUAGCAUGCCGCCAAAUCUUGCGUAGGCGGCCUCUCACAAGUCUGGAAGUGUUGUGGCGGAUGCAAACGCCCGGCACGCGUGUCCGGGGUGUGCCCCCCUCACGAACGGCGCCGCCGCCGGCACCUGGAGGGGGGAAACGGACGCGUGGGGUCUACACGGAGGGGAUCUUGCUGUGGGCCUGGCCCGGAUGUUGCUCCAAAGUGUUCCUAUGGGCUGAGCUAACACAACUGGGUGGGGAGGUCCACUGGUCAAAGCCCGUCCGUGCAAAGUCAAAGGGCUAGAUCAUGUGGUUAAACGCUACAGGGUUAGGCGGGACGGGGGCACUAGGGGUAGCAUUGCCACCGGAGCGUCGCACCGGGCCCUCAUACAUGCGGGGUGGUGUGGUGGCAUGUCCGAAGAGGCGGGACGCGUCUCCGGGGCGUGGCCCCCCCUCACGGACAACGAUGUCACGGUAGUAGACGUUCUGCGGUAAUGAUGCGGCGUCAAUAUUACUAAAUACUCGAAGCGCGAUAAAAUCAUGAGUUUUUUUUUGCACGAGUGGGCACAUGUGCUAUAGGAAUGGUAUUUUUUCAUAAUUUUUUGUGAUGGAGAAGUAUCCGAAAAAUUCCCUCUACGCGGAUUGCCCUUCGCGCGUCUACGGCUGUGGCCGGCGGCCUCCGGAGGCUAGCAUGCCGCCAAAUCUUGUGUAGGCGGCCUCUCACAAGUCUGCAAGUGUUGUGGCGGUUGCAAACGCCCGACACGCGUGUCCGGGGUGUGCCCCCCUCACGGACGGCGCCGCCGCCGGCACCUGGAGGGGGGAAACGGACGCGUGGAGUCUACACGGAGGGGAUCUUGCUGUGGGUCUGGCCCGGAUGUUGCUCCAAAGUGUUCCUAUGGGCUGACCUAACACAACCGGGUGGGGAGGUCCACUGGUCAAAGCCCGUCCGUGCAAAGUCAAAGGGCUUGAUCCCGUGGUCAAACUCUAUAGGGUUAGGCGGGACGGGGGCACUGGGGGGUAGCAAUGCCACCGGAGCGUCGCACCGGGCCCUCUUACAUGCGGGGUGGUGUGGUGGCAUGUCCAAAGAGGUUCAUGCUUGGUUCAUGGAGAAAGUAAUUUUCCACACUCCCCUAUUAAAUACCUACUUCAAAAUUUAUUAGUUAACCGAACUAAUGCACGCAACAAUUUCCAUUAUACCUGUAGGGAAAAGAUCCGAACAUAUCUAUGGAUGAUGAAUUGAGAUGGGUUUCCAUGGGUUUUGACCCUACCGUCAUGACACGUAAAAAGUAUGAUGUGAAUGGGUAUCACUUCCAUAUAGAGGAGCACCAAAACAGCCGCCCCGAUCCCAGAACUAUAAAUACUGGAGUGUACACCCCCGAUCAAAAUUCAGUAGACUACUACGGAAGGGUACAAAAUAUAUACGAGGUUAAAUUCCGCCAGGGGCGUGAGACCCUAAGUCUGCCUGUGUUCAAAUGCCGAUGGUUCGAUCCGCGGGAGGGGGUAAAACAUACGCCUUCCAUUGGUUUCGUCGAAGUUAAACCAUCAAGCGUCUAUGCCGGAGCCGAUCUCUUCAUUGCGGCUACCCAAGCUACACAAGUAUAUUAUCUGCCUUACCCAUGCCAGAAAGUGUAUCUAAAGGGUUGGGAAGUUGUGUUCAAGGUGUCGCCACAUGGUAAGCUACCAGACCCGAAUGAAGACAAUUACUACAAUAUUAACCCCAUGACAUACGAGGGAGUGUUCUAUCAAGAGCAACCUGAUGAUGAUGAUGAUGAUGUGGUUAGAAACGAUGACGCUAGACCAUUGGGUGAUGAUGAUGUGGACCCAAGCAUCGACGAUGCACGGAAUGAUGGUGAGACCAUUGUCAAUGAAAAUGACAUACUUAUGCUAGAAAAGUUAAACGAAGACGCUGACAACGAGGAAGAGCCUCCACCUUCGUCGGACAACGAAGAUGAUAUGAUUGAUAGUGAUGAUGAGACAGACCGAGAAAGAGGUUACAACAGUGAUGAUUCAUAUGGGUUCUAGCAGAUGUACGUUUCAAGUCUUUUUUCUAUAGUUUAGGAAUAUGCCUUUUUAUUCAUUUUUAUUAAUGUGCUUAUUAUCAUGCCUUUUUCUUCAGUUCAUUAAUUUACUAAUUUCUUUUUCUCUUUUCAAUGCAGGUUCGUGGAACAUGGGCAAGGGGAAGGCCGACGGCGUGGGUUUCCUACGCAAGGUCGUCGGCCUGCCUAGUCGGAGUGGUCGAGCACGUAAUCCUCCCCCUCGGCUACUUGAUGAUGACUCCUCAUAGGGAGGUCGAGGGAGAGGUGCCCCUAGAGGAGGAUGGGGCGGGGGGAGAGCCUCUAGAGGACGAGGUGCUGGGGGGAGAGCCACUACAGGGGGUCGCGGCCAGAAAGAGUGCACCCUCACCGACUUAGGGGUGUUGUCUUCGAGGCCCUCCUCUAGUGAGGUACCCUCCUCUAGUGAGGUACACUCUAGGGAGGAGGAGNNNNNNNNNNNNNNNNNNNNNNNNNNNNNNNNNNNNNNNNNNNNNNNNNNNNNNNNNNNNNNNNNNNNNNNNNNNNNNNNNNNNNNNNNNNNNNNNNNNNNNNNNNNNNNNNNNNNNNNNNNNNNNNNNNNNNNNNNNNNNNNNNNNNNNNNNNNNNNNNNNNNNNNNNNNNNNNNNNNNNNNNNNNNNNNNNNNNNNNNNNNNNNNNNNNNNNNNNNNNNNNNNNNNNNNNNNNNNNNNNNNNNNNNNNNNNNNNNNNNNNNNNNNNNNNNNNNNNNNNNNNNNNNNNNNNNNNNNNNNNNNNNNNNNNNGGAGGAGGAGGUGGAGGAGGAGGCAGGCGAGGAGGAGGAGGAGGAGGAGGAGGUUGGGGAGGGGGAGGCAGGCGAGGAGGGGGUGGUGGCGGGGAUGAUGGUGGUGACGGGAAGGGGGUUGACAACAAGGGGUGGCUGCGUGGCAACACAAAGCUACCAAAGCAGGUUCCUGCUACUGAGGAGCAGAAGUGGCUCAUUGAGCCCACGGGAAAAGAGUAAGUGGUUCAUUAUUUUGCUUGUCACAUGCUUAUUUCGGUUGUUAUUUAUUUUGCUUGUCACAUGCUAAUAGUUCAUUCUUUUGCAGCAACUGGAUAUAUUCUAAAGGGGUUCGUAUUCCCAACAGCCUCAUCACCGUCUUGCUGAAGUUAUACUGGCCGGGGUUGUACUGUCCGGAUCCAGUCAGGCAGCCGGACCGUCGGGUUUUGGCCACGAGCUAGGACCACUGGGAAGCGGCCCUCCACGCGGACCAUGAGACCCACGCCAAGGCCGUGAUCACUACUUUCUGGGUGAGUUCUCUUCAGAAGCACAAGUCCAUUCUAGUUUCAUGAAUGAUUUAACUCAUGGCUUCUUCCAUUCUUGUUUCAUGCAUGAUUGUAGAAAUUCUAUCGAGUUCUUCCGGAGCACAGGCUAGAGCGGACCAGAUCGUGCUGCGCCAAUGCAAGAAGAAGGCCCGCCAGAUGCAGUACGAGGUGCGCUAUGUGGCCAUCUCCACAUACUACCACAACGUUCUUGGUGUGAAGAUGACCAAGGAAGAAGCGCGGAGGAUGGGCAUUACCUUGGAGAGGCCCGAGUUCUUGGCGGUAAGUAUAAAAGAUUUUUCAUUAUGCUUUCAUAUAUUAUGCUUUCAUUAUGCUUUCAUUACCUUGUGGUACAUUAUGCUUUAUGCUUUAUGCUUCCAUAACACCAAUUUGGACACACCUACAUGCCAUUAUGCUUUUAUUAUGUAGGUGUGUCCAAAUUGGUGUUAUGGAAAAGACGAGUCCUGGGCGGCAUUGGUGGAUCUUUGGUGUGAUGAGGCUGGAGCCUGGGCGGCUAUGAGAACCAAAAAUAAGGCUAACUGAGAGACGGAGGGAGUACAUGCUCAGGGAAACCGAAACCACUAUCUCCACAAGACAGUUAAUGUAUGACUAACCCCAUUAAACAUUCUUCUUCUUCUAUUUACCAUCACUUUCUUAUGUAUGACUAACCUCUGUUUGGUGGUGCAGGAGGAGAAACUGAAGCGACCGCUCUCACACAUGCAGGCGUGGGAGAUCGCCCAUACGCGGAAGGACUCCAAGCCUGCCGAGCCCAAGUACUACGGCAAGAAGACCGCGGGGAGGAAGAAGGCCUACUCCGAAGCGUAUCUGAAGUUACAUCCUGACACACUGACCCCAUUGCGGCGCCUCUGGACGACAGGGCGGUGGUGAGCAUGGGGCCCAAGGAGCACGGUCGGGAGGCGGUUCUCGAUGCUGUGAUCACUCCUAGUAUCUCCUACACACAGCUUCGUCGGAUCGACCCGAGCCUGAGCCAGCGCACGAGCCAGCCAGUGACCAGUGCACAGUCCCUCUUUCAGGAGCAACAAUCUGUAAGUAUUUUCCCUCUUAUCUUCAUUGCUCACUUUAUUUUCCGCAUUUAGUAGUUUUAUGAGUUCCAUCAUGUCAUACCGUAGGCCUACCUGGAGUACACACGCCAGGAGACCAUGGCGUGGCAUCAGAGGCUUUAUGAACACCAACUGUAGAGGGAUAGCCAGAUGCAGCAGGCUUUUCAGGAAAUGGCGGCCGAUAGGUGUCCUCAGUUCCCUCCAGCACAACCAGUGCUGCUGAGCUUUGAGGAGUUUGUGGCACAGAACGCUGGCCCCUCGCCGGUUAGUUCAUCCCCAAUCUAUUCACCCAAAGCAUGUCAUGCCUUUCAACACAGUCAUAUAUCCCGUUAAUAUAUGUUUUCAACAUCCAGGGAACAGGUGGAUCUACCGUUGGCGGUGGUCUUCGCAGCACUCCGGAGACACGGAGCCCGACCACUCCGAUCCACGGAGGCGGAGGCGGAAGUGGAGGCGGUACCGCUGCCGCUAGCAGUGACGACCUGGGCUUCGGCGGUCUUGGCGGUGACGACCUCCGCGGUGCUCGAUGAUGCUUGAGAUGUGAUGAUGAUGCUUGAGAUGACUUGUGUGUGUUGAUGAUCAUUUAGAUGACUUGUGUGAUGAUGCUUAUGCUUAUGCUUACGUUCGUUGAUAUGUUUAUGCUUGUGUGAUGAUGAUCUAUUGUUGUGAUGAUGCUUAUGCUUACGUUCGUUGAUAUGUGCUGCUAAUAUGUGCUGUUAUAUAUGUGUUGUUAUUUGAAUUGAACUGAUUUGAAAACAAACAGAAAAAAGAAAAAAAUAAAUAAAAGCAAACUAUGCCGACGGCUAUGCCGUCGGCAUAGGGCUGGCGUGAGCUCCCAGCAGCUGACACGUGGCACCUAUGCCGACGGCAUUGCCGUCGGCAUAGUUUAAAAGCUAUGACGACGGCUAUGCUGUCGACAUAGGUGCCACGCGGCAGCUGCUGGGAACUCUGUAUGAAGGAGUAUGCCGACGGCUAUGCCGUCGGCAUAGUUCGAAACUAGGCCGACGGCCUAGCCGUCGGCAUAGCCCUGGUCCAUGGCCAACGACAGGCCGCCACGUGGCACACCUAUGCCGACGGCCAGGCCGUCGGCGUAGGUUUUGACUAGGCCGACGGCCUGGCCGUCGGCAUAGGUGUGCCAUGUGGCGGCCUGUCGUUGGCCAAACUUGACGGCGGCCGCCAUUAGGCGUGAUAGUUGCCGACGGCCGGGGCCGUCGGCAUAGAUGUACGAGCCCCGUCGGCGUAUCAUAUAUGCCGACGACUUUUCUAUGCCGACAGCCUCCCUGGCUGUGCCGAUGCAUAUGUUGCCGACGGCCCUAUGCCGACGGGGGCCGUCGGCAUAGGUCUAUCCCGACGGGACUCAGGCCUAUGCCGACGGCCCUGGCCGUCGGCAUAGGGGGCGAUUCCGGUAGUGGAUGAAUAGUAUCAUGUGAUAAAAAGCUCCAGAUUUGUCUUUUUUGCACAGCCCUCGUUUUAAUGUAUUUUGCUCUGAAAAUUUACACACAUGUGUGUUAUGCCUUCAUGUAUAUCUAUGUUUUUUUCAGAACGUUUUGAAAUGUAGAAAAUAUGAAAUUUGACGAAAUUCAAAAUUUUCAAAACCGAGCUCCAUGGAGCUCAACCUCCAAAGACAAUAUCUGCUCCAUUCCAUAAUAUAAGGCGUUUUUGCAAGCUAACGUCUUAUAUUGUGGGAUGAAGAGAGUAUAAACUAGUAGAAACAAUCUCAUGAAACGACAACAUGUUUUUGGGAAUCUUGCGGAAGAAUUGUCAUUUUUCCUUUGUCUUUCUUGAGCAAUGGGCAUGCACUCUAUCUUUCUAUUAAGUAGAAAAAAGAAUUAACAAGUUAACCACGAAAACUGGCUGAAACGGAUAGAAAGCAAUAUUGUAUGAUCGUGUCCCAUGGACCGGGGUGGGUGGGUGCUUGAAUAGUCCCAGUUAUAUCCUUCACAAGACCUAUACCUGCAGGUAUAUAACAAAGAAGAACGUGAAAGCCAAACUUGAGAAAAGUAGAGUUAGGGAUAGAGAUUGCAAAGAUGGUGACGGUUUCACGAGACUCAUUAGUUGGUGAUAUCCUACCACUCAUUGCUGGAGGUUCAGGCACGAAGUCCUAUGGUGCACAAAGACCACAGUAGGGUCGCCCACAAAGAGCCCACAAAGUGCAUGCCAACCUAUUCCACCAUGACUUGCUAGCACAAAGGUUAAAGACUCACUCAGGGUUGAUGUUGCAUGAAGAAAAUGAUCAUCGGGCUUCAUACACACUCUGAAGCUCUCAAUCGACUCGUAAGUCCUAACCAUCUAGGAGGUGCAGACCCUACAAGAGUAACAAGCAAACACAGAGUCACUUGGAUGAACUUCCCAAAAGACCUCCGGUCAAUCUCUCUCAAGAACCCAUAUGAUCACAAAGAUAGGCUUCAUAAAGAGAGAUGAAGAUCAAAUGUGGGGUUGAAGAAAGGUGAUCUGGCCUUUAAACACUCAAUUAUCCGAUCUCUUGGUUUUCGCGAAAAACUCAAACAACGUCUCGAAACAACCUCACACAUCCCCAUCCAAAGAGGUGUCGGGUCUAUUUAUAGAAAAAGCAUAAAUUUGGUUGCCAUUGUGAAAAAAAGUAACUAGUCUCGGUAGUACAGACAUGUUCAAAAAUUAAACCACCAGAACGGAAACACGCAUUCCCGCAAUGAUCAGAAGCCAAAUGCUCGGAGGGUACCAGGAUGUCCACUAAGCCUGUAAAAAAUUCAUUACCCAAAUGCAUCGGAAACAAAAACCUCUAAGGUACUAGACCAAAAAGGUACUCCAUCCGAUCCAAAUUAAUUGACGCCACUUUAGGACAACAUUUUCGUGAAGGGUAGAACAUGCUAGGAAGAAUUGGAGAAAAUAACCAUCUGAAGUAUGUUGGGGUCGACAUAGUAGUUCUUAUGAGAAAUUGGUGUGGAAAUGGCUAAGUCUUUGCUCGGAAGUACCAGAUGGAUUCGGUUGGAUAGUUAAUAGAGCUUCUAGAAAGAAGUAUGCGCAAUUGGAAAAAUGUGUUAAUGAUUUUCAUUAGCUCUAUGGAAAGAUACUCAUUAGUCUCUUUGUNNNNNNNNNNNNNNNNNNNNNNNNNNNNNNNNNNNNNNNNNNNNNNNNNNNNNNNNNNNNNNNNNNNNNNNNNNNNNNNNNNNNNNNNNNNNNNNNNNNNNNNNNNNNNNNNNNNNNNNNNNNNNNNNNNNNNNNNNNNNNNNNNNNNNNNNNNNNNNNNNNNNNNNNNNNNNNNNNNNNNNNNNNNNNNNNNNNNNNNNNNNNNNNNNNNNNNNNNNNNNNNNNNNNNNNNNNNNNNNNNCCCUUUUUUUGCCUUUGUAGUUUCAUUUAUAUGUGGUCUUUUUGUUUUCAUAGAUAGUUUCCACGUAUAGUUAUUUUUUGCUUUCUUGUUUAUACCUUGUACUACAUUAUUGAAAAUUAAUAAAAAUAUACGCAACAUAAUCAUGCUGUUUCUUGUAAAAAAAGUAUCAGAUGGAUUUGGUUUCAGAGUAUUGGACCUAGAAUGAGACGCUAAACUGAAGCAAACCAAGAGGUGAUCAGAAAUGCUGGAGAAAAUGAUUGGAGGUGCGGAUCUAACAAAGAUGGUUUCAUAGGAUGACAAUUCGGUGGUACAAGAGAAAAAACUCGGCGGUUCGGAAGCGAACGAAGAACAGGGUGCGCUUAGAUAAAACACCCAUUCCUCACAUGAUCGGUAGUACCUGGUAGAAAUACUCAAAAUUACCAAGGGUGGUGAAAAGAGAGGAAUUUGAGUGGAAGGAGUUGAAAACUUGGGAAUUUUGGUUGAGGAUCUUGAUUUGGAGUUCACCCAAGAUAUUUUCCUUGGUCCCCCAUUGACAUUAUGAUUGUCCUUAAACUCAUGGUGAAUGUUGGAUUCACCUAACGCCUAUAAAGAUGCAAACUAUGAGGUGAAGGAUCGAAUUGCCAUUAAUUGCCACAACCCAACAAGGGUAUAAGAUGCACUUUGAAUCUCCCCCUAUUUGUUGAUCGAGGACAACACAAUCAGAUAUAGAAUGAAAUGAUUAAGCAUGUGAAAGUUCAUGUACUUAUUAUAAGUUUUGAGCUCCCCUAUUUGUGUGCACUAUUAAAUUUUGCUUUUGGAAUGCAAGUGCUGUUACACAUUAUUAGAUAGUGUGGGAACAACAAGUAUAUGACACAUUCCAUGGGAUGCAUUGUGUGUACGAAUGAUAAAGAUGGGAAAGACCAUGGGUAAAAAUUUAGGCACAUCUUUCGCGGUUAGGACAAUUGAAACGCCAGAAAUGACAUGACCUAAGUGAUGGUUGUUCCACAACGGUACAUCUGUGAUCUAUGGCCGGCGAUUCUAGAUUAUUUUUUAGCAAAUAUCAAUCCCAUUUUAUUAAGAAAUGGUAAUUUUCAUAGGAAUGGUUACAAUAUCAUGCGGUGUCACUAGCCUACACCAAGGGGCGAAGCAUGUUUUGCCAAAUUAUGGGCUUUGUCAUUGUUGUUCCGGCUUCUACGGACAUAGCUGCAUUCAUCAAACUCCAAAGCUUUGGAUUUGAUCUCCCUGAUGAUGGAGGCGAUUCUAGAUGGCCCUUCUGAGAUGGGAGUGUAUUUCUACUGGCCCGCUAAAGACGUGCCGCCAAUGAUGACCCAUUCUGUACAAGUGAGGCCUGAUUUGGGCGAGAGAGUGGGCUCUUGUUUUUGUGCCAUGGCUUGUUUCAGUUAUUGUCAUUGUAACACUCUAGAAUGAGGCAAAGGUUUUGCCUCCAACUUGAAAAUUUUCCACCAAGACUGGAUGGUUUGAGAACAUGAGCACCUGUCAACACAUUGCCUGGCUUAAGGUGGCCCCAAAUGUGAUGCGUGGGUAGCUAAAUAAUAGGAACCGAGGAAGUGCCAUUGCCACUAACCGAAAGGUCGUUGGCUAAAUGGAAUGGAGCAAUUGAUCUACGUCGCCCUUUACACUUUCUCUCUAUUAUCACAUAUGAACACGGUGGGCACUAGCCCGUCGGUGAUGGUGAGUAGAGUUUCUCUAUACUUCGUCUUAAAGGUGGCAUAAUACCGUAAAUGGAUGGGGUGUGUAGUGUAAAGUGAGUUAACUCAUAGGUCAAGGAAAAGGGUCGAAGGUCUGCUUUCAGGUCUGAUCAAAUGCUCUGAAGAUAGAUACUGAACUAGACAUACAGGUGUACCACUCCAGUCAAAACCUGAAUACCUUUUAAAUCUACAUUCAACUCUUUACGAAAUGUUUUAUGUUUCUUUGGCUUCGUCAAUAAAAUGGAAAAACUAGUUAUGCUCAACUUUUUUGCUGUUCUUUAACCAGUUAACAAAUGUGACAUGCAGCACAGCUUAACAAACCUUAUCAUGGCCGGGCAUGCAGUCCACCAACCCUGCUUUUUUCUCUGGGUUGUGACACUUGUAGUUUCAGAGGCAGUGCGCGUGGCUUUGUUGUGCUAGUAAUUGAGUUGCUUUUCAGUGCGUGCGCCGACUAAACUUGCCAAUCCUAUGCACUUUCAGAUCUCCUUUUUUCGUAGUGCGUGGACCAUUAAUUUCUGCUUCAUCGUCAUCAUGUCUUCCAUGAACGCAAUGUGAUGUGCCGCUGAGGAAAAGGCACAUCGUUGCACACUUGUACUGCAGUAGCCGUGGCCAUUUGGCCCGUGCCUGAACUCUCUUGAUCGAAAUUCGAAAGCCUAUAAAUACCACUGAUCUCACCCCCAGACACUCACACCAUCCAAAGCCAUCUUUGCACAAGCCACUAGCUCACUACUCGCUACCAGUCGAUCUACAUUUCUUCGUCAGAGUUUCAGAGACGUCAUGAAGUACAUGGGGCAGCUGGUGGUGGCGCUCCUGGCCUUCUGGGCGGUGGUGCUGAUGAUGGCGCCGGCCGGCGUGGACGCGGCGACGUGUGACGCGCUGCAGCUGAGCCCGUGUGCGGGCGCGAUCGUCGGGAAUGCGGCGCCGACGGCGGUGUGCUGCAGCAGGAUGAAGGCGCAGAGGCCGUGCAUGUGCCAGUACGCGCACGACCCUAACCUGAAGCAGUACGUCAACUCCCCCAACGGCAAGAAGGUCCUGGCCGCCUGCAAGGUGCCCGUGCCAUCAUGCUAGAUCGACGUCUAUGAUCGAGACGAGAACGAGAGCCCAGCCAGUGGCAUCUCUCUGCACCGCUGCAUGUGCUGCAUGUGUUGAUGUGUGAGUGUUUGGUUGUCGUGAGUAGCAACCCCGAUGUAUCUGUAUCUGAAAUUCUGAAUAAAUGCAGUGCUUGCGUGAGCUCCACUAGGUAAGAGAUUGGCGUUGAUGGGAGAAAGAACUGUUCGUUCAAACGGCCGGUCAUCAUAUGUGGCAUAUGUUUUUCUCGAACGGGCAUGUGAUGAGCUCAUUUUUUAAGACAAAUAUAAAAGGAUAAGCGCG